GAAAGUAAAGAAGGGCGCAUGGCGGAUGCCUUGGCUCUCGGAGGCGAUGAAGGACGUGAUAAGCUGCGAUAAGCUCCGGGGAGGUGCAAAUAACCUUUGAUCCGGGGAUUUCCGAAUGGGACAACCCGGCGUGUUGAAGACACGCCACCUGAUCAUUUCAGGAGCUAACGCAGGGAACUGAAACAUCUUAGUACCUGCAGGAAAAGAAAAUAACAAUGAUUCCCCCAGUAGUGGCGAGCGAACGGGGAAUAGCCCAAACCGUUCAUGUUACGGCAUGAUCGGGGUUGUAGGACUACGUCGUUGCAUGAAGACAUCGGAGAAGAACUUUCUGGAAAGAAAGACCAUAGAGCAUGACAGUUGCGUAUUCGUAUGUUGUCGAAGCAUAGUAGUAUCCUGAGUAGCGCGGAGCACGAGGAAUUCUGCGUGAAUCUGCCGGGACCAUCCGGUAAGGCUAAAUACUCCCGAGAGACCGAUAGCGAACCAGUACCGUGAGGGAAAGGUGAAAAGCACUUCGAACAGAAGAGUGAAAUAGUUCCUGAAACCGUGCGCCUACAAGCGGUCGGAGCUGCUUAAAGCAGUGACGGCGUGCCUUUUGCAUAAUGAACCUACGAGUUGCCUUUGCCGGCAAGGUUAAGUGUGACGACACACGUAUCCGAAGCGAAAGCGAGUCUGAAGAGGGCGUAUAGUCGGCAGUGGCAGACGCGAAACCAAGUGAUCUACCCUUGGCCAGGUUGAAGGCUGGGUAACACCAGCUGGAGGACCGCACCAAUAAGCGUUGAAAAGCUUCUGGAUGAGCUGAGGGUAGGGGUGAAAGGCUAAUCAAACUUGGAGAUAGCUCGUACUCCCCGAAAUGCAUUUAGGUGCAGCCUUGUGGGUUACUGAUGUGAGGUAGAGCGACUGAUAAGAUGCGAGGGCUUCACCGCCUAUCAAGUCUUGACAAACUCCGAAUGCGCAUCAGUUUUACCUCAGGAGUGAGGGCAUGGGUGCUAAGGUCCGUGCCCGAGAGGAGAAGAAUCCGGACCACCUGCUAAGGUCCCGAAAUGACAGCUAAGUUAAACUAACGAAGUCUGACUGCUAAGACAGCUAGGAUGUUGGCUUGGAAGCAGCCAUUCAUUUAAAGAGUGCGUAACAGCUCACUAGUCGAGGAGUCUGGCGUGGAUAAUAAUCGGGUAUUAAGUUGUCUACCGAAGCAGUGGGAUCAUUGAAAUGAUCGGUAGGGGAGCAUUCCAGUCAGCGUCGAAGGCGUACCGCGAGGUAUUCUGGAGCGUCUGGAAAAGCAAAUGUAGGUAUAAGUAACGAUAAAGGGGGCGGGAAACCCCCUCGCCGAAAGACUAAGGUUUCCUGAUCAACGCUAAUCGGAUCAGGGUAAGUCGGGUCCUAAGGCUCAGCCGAAGGGCGAUGCCGAUGGCAGAAACGGUUAAUAUUCCGUUACUACCUCCAGGAGUGAUGUGGAGACGCAGUAGUGACAAUGCCGCCAUCUGACGGAAUAGAUGGUUGAAGGGUGUAGAUGUUGAUCUUGGCAGGCAAAUCCACCAUGAGAAUCGAACCUGAUAGUAUGCCGCGUCCCUCGGGACAAGGCAAUAGUGCAUGUAAUCAUGCUGCCAAGAAAAUCCGCUAAACUAAAUCCUGUAGGUACCCGUACCGUAAACGGACACACGUAGUCGGGAUGAAUAUUCUAAGGCGCUUGAGUGAUUCACGGUUAAGGAACUAGGCAAACUGACCCUGUAACUUCGGGAUAAAGGGUCCCUACCCGGUGACGGGAGGGCGCAGAGAAUAGGUCCAGGCAACUGUUUAACAAAAACACAGGGCUGUGCUAAAUCGAAAGAUCCUGUAUACAGCCUGACACCUGCCCGGUGCUGGAAGGUUAAGAGGAGACGUCAUCGUUGAGAGAAGCGUUGAAUUGAAGCCCCAGUAAACGGCGGCCGUAACUAUAACGGUCCUAAGGUAGCGAAAUUCCUUGUCGGGUAAGUUCCGACCUGCACGAAUGGUGUAAUGAUCUGGACGCUGUCUCAACCGUGAGCUCAGUGAAAUUGUAGUAUCGGUGAAGAUGCCGAUUACCCGCGAUGGGACGAAAAGACCCCGUGAACCUUUACUAUAGCUUAUCAUUGAAUCUGGGCACGUGAUGUGUAGGAU
This 2133-nucleotide ribosomal RNA is filed under the name gut metagenome. RNAcentral describes it as "bacterial LSU rRNA". It matches the Rfam family "Bacterial large subunit ribosomal RNA", at positions 1 to 2144 of the family's 2925-position model. The record is from RNAcentral.